RNAcentral lists this ribosomal RNA (402 nucleotides) under bacterium. RNAcentral describes it as "partial 16S ribosomal RNA". It matches the Rfam family "Bacterial small subunit ribosomal RNA", at positions 355 to 776 of the family's 1533-position model. The record is from RNAcentral.
UGGGGAAUUUUGCACAAUGGGGGAAACCCUGAUGCAGCGACGCCGCGUGAUUUAGAAGGCCUUCGGGUUGUAAAAAUCUUUUCUAAGGGAAGAAAAUGACAGUACCAUAGGAAUAAGGACCGGCUAAUUACGUGCCAGCAGCCGCGGUAAUACGUAAGGUCCGAGCGUUGUCCGGAAUCAUUGGGCGUAAAGGGUACGUAGGCGGGUAAGCAAGUUAGAAGUGAAAUCCUAUAGCUCAACUAUAGUAAGCUUUUAAAACUGCUCAUCUUGAGGUAUGGAAGGGAAAGUGGAAUUCCUAGUGUAGCGGUGAAAUGCGCAGAUAUUAGGAGGAAUACCGGUGGCGAAGGCGACUUUCUGGCCAUAACCUGACGCUGAGGUACGAAAGCGUGGGUAGCAAACAGG